UUUAUACGUCGAAUUUUGGUCGCGUCGAAUGCAAUUAACACAAUAGAUAAUGAGAUGAUAAACGUCAUUAAGCUUCAUUAUCUAUUGUUUGAAUUGCAUUCGACGCGACCAAAAUUCGACGUAUAAA
Molecule: non-coding RNA, 127 nt
Organism: Paramuricea clavata
Lineage: Eukaryota; Metazoa; Cnidaria; Anthozoa; Malacalcyonacea; Plexauridae
Source: the annotation of a GenBank genome assembly